UGGGCUUGACAUGUCAGUGACAGGUGUGGAAACACACUCUCCCUUCGGGGCGCGAUCACAGGUGGUGCAUGGCUGUCGUCAGCUCGUGUCGUGAGAUGUUGGGUUAAGUCCCGCAACGAGCGCAACCCCCGUCGCAUGUUGCCAGCAUUUAGUUGGGGACUCAUGCGAGACUGCCGGUGACAAACCGGAGGAAGGUGGGGAUGACGUAGAACGGUUGGUU
RNAcentral lists this unclassified non-coding RNA (220 nucleotides) under uncultured Solirubrobacterales bacterium. RNAcentral's name for it is "contains 16S-23S intergenic spacer region". It matches the Rfam family "Bacterial small subunit ribosomal RNA", at positions 976 to 1197 of the family's 1533-position model. The record is from RNAcentral. Lineage: Bacteria; Bacillati; Actinomycetota; Thermoleophilia; Solirubrobacterales.